Non-coding RNA from Rattus norvegicus (Norway rat), 7738 nucleotides. The record is from RefSeq and is a predicted model, not a curated record. Lineage: Eukaryota; Metazoa; Chordata; Mammalia; Rodentia; Muridae.
ACCGGGAAAGGGAAUAACACUUGAAAUGUAUAUAAGAAAUACUCAAGUUAAUAAAAAAAAAAAAAAGAAAGCAUUCCCAAGUACCCUGGUGGGUACCCUGAACUAGGAAUUUCUUUUUGCUAAGUCUCUCACCCAGUACCUGGUAUGCAGCAUGCUCUGUGAGGCAGACACACCAGUCAAACUGCCUAGUGUCUUCUGGGGUUAUUCCAGAGUCCCUUAGCGUUUCCUUUGUAUACUGUGAGAUUUACAUGGAGGCACAUGCACAUUCAUAUUUACCCUUUUUCUCAGGGAUAGUGCAGUGCUAAGUGGCCUCUGCACAUAUGAUUAAAUAUUAAUUAGGCUUCUAAUAUAAGCAAGUGAGUUUCCAGGCCCGAGUGUCACAUGAAUAAUUUAAGAGGUACCCGAAGGCUCAGCCUGGAAAGCUGAUUGGCCACUUUGGAUUUGUAUAAUUACAAAGUUUCAUUAUUAACAGUGGAAGCAGUGGAGAGAUUUGCCUAGCUUGAGGGACUUUGAAAGCAUAAGCUGUCUCAUUAGAGAAAAGGGAAAUAAGGCAAAAUAUGCAAACUUGUUAGAAAGAAACAGGUGUGGCUGAGAUUUAAGCCCAGCUUUCAAACGUGAGCGUGGUGUGUGUACGCUUUUAAAGUUUGACAAUGAAAUUGAUAUUCUGACCGGUAAGAAUAUUUGCUUAAAAUGUUACUACUAAGAGCAAUGCUUCAAACUUUUAAUUUUAAAUCGAAGGCUUAAGUCUUUAAUAUUUUACCAAAAAAAAAAAAAAAAACCCCACAGGUAGGCUAAUAGGCCCGGUGCAGUGAGAGGUUUGGAGGUAAAAGAAUGCAGACAGUAUAGGGCUCUUGCUUGAAUGUGUGUUGUGCAUGCAAUUAAAUCUCAAGGUCAAACAAUUUACAGACAAUUACUUUUCUAACAUCUCCAGAAAUGCCUGCUUACACGUCUUUAAUUUUAAAUGAUACUGAUAUUCCAAUUCUCCCCAAAGGUUAAUGCUGACUAAAUCCAGCUGUGACCUGACACGAUGCGACAGCACGGUGCCUAAUUAUCCUCUGGAUAGUCAUUUACUUGAAACCAUUAAAGGAAUAGACUGAGAGGAAGAUUUAGGACCCUGAAAAAAUGUUAGCCUGACUUCUUUCUUCUUGAGGAUGGGAUGGGCUGAAAAAUAAAAAUAAAAUCCUGCUAAAUGUUAGCCAUUUGCUUUGAUGGCAGAAAAUUGUUCAUCCCACUCUUGUUUUUUUACAGGUUAAAUUGCUAACUAGUUCAUUUUAUCCAUUGCCUACGGCUGGCGCUAAAUGUCAGUGACAAAUUUUGUACUUGUCUUGAAGAAUGAAUUAAGUUAUGCACAGAAGCUAUAGUGCUCUUUUAAGAUGAGUGAAUUGCAGAAGGAAAAAAAGUUGCUCUUUUGAAAAAGGAUUAUUUUGAUUAAAGGGCUUUUCUAUUGUAGCUGAAGACAGGUAGUGGUUUAAGAUAAUUCAGACACUUACCUCCCACAGAGGCCGCAGUCCUAUACUGAGGAUUUCUCUAAGAGCAAUUGUGUCAGAUUAUACACUGUGAUUAUUAUCAUAAGACCAUUAGCGAUGCUGAAAGAUUACUAAAAAAAUAAAAAUUAAAGUGAAAACACUUAGUUUUCAUCAACUUGAGUUAAAAAAAAAUCUUGAUUUUUUUUCCUCCUAUGGCAUUAGCGUCCCGUUACUGUCUGUAAGCUUUCACAGAGAGGGGCAGGGGAAUUACAGAGUGAAAAACAUAUUCUCCAAAAUGUUGCAAAAGGGAAACCCUAGAGUCUUCAACACAUUUAUAAUAGGAAAAUACGGCCUUGACUUUUAGCCACCUUCAUUCUUCUUGAUUUUUCUUGCUUGGUGGCAGAGGCCUGACUUAUCAUCUUCCACAGAAAGCUAUCAGCAUCCGCUGGUGUCCUAUUUUCCAAUGGUUUAGUCUCACCAGCUUACAUAAGAUGAGAGCUAUGUGUUUUUUUUUUUAUCCCUAUGCUCUCAUUUUCUUGUAGAAUGGAUGCUUUUACUGAAUUGAUGAAGCUUAAUAGGGGUAAUUUUGUCACAUUCUCGUUAUAUUUUAGCAUCCUAUAGACAAAAUGAAUCAAACAGAAUUGCAAUUUUAAGAACAACCUCACUCUAAAGGUAGCAAAGUUAUAUGUGUUCAAAAGGCUGUUCUACCCCCACUUUAAACUGAUGGCUGUUUGUUAGGCCGGGGACAAUGACUUAGCUUUAUAAGCUAGAAGAAUGCGAUUAAUUUGUAUUCUGUUAGUCCAAGAGGCUUAUUUGAUAAGGUAAAAAUAUGUUUUUGGUGAAGGAAUAAUGCAAGACUAUAGUUUGGUUUCAGCAUGCUAAGGCACAAGUAAAGCUGUGUUUAUUAAUUGCACAGCACUCCAGCAUACUGUGAAGAAAUUGUUGAGAACGGCGUUGCCAAGAAAACUAUACUGAUUAGCUUAAAACCUUGUUUAGUUGCUUACUUGCUAUCAGCUCUUUUAAGUCACAUUUAAAUUAGUAAAACGAGUUGUCAGAUCAGCUCUUAACUGAGUUUACAGAUAAGUAUAGGUGUUUGAGCUUCUGUUAUAAUCCACCGUCCAACUUUGGCAAGAGAUGGCUUUUGUGCCUGAAUGGCUUUCUUUUUUACCCCUAAGUCGCCCUCACCACGCGUUCUCUAACUACUGCAAUCCUCUCUUAUACUUAUGAGUGGUGUGAAUGGCCUCUCCCUUGGAGCUGCCAUUAACUUUAUCCUUCCCAGCAAGAGUUCCAGUAUGAUGAUGUAGCCCAAAAUGUUGAGGAAGCCACCCAAGUAAUAGAAAAAAAAGUUCUUUUACAUGUUACUCAGGACGUGUGUAUGUGUAUGUGUAUGUGUUUGUGUGUGUGUGUGUGUGUGUGUGUGUGUCUAUGUGUGCACACAUGCACACCUGCUGAAAUGAACUAGAAUUUUAUCUAGAAAAAUAAUUCUUAUGUGCUUUCCUGAGUAUGGGCUUCCACAGUCUUCUAGCAAAUUCUGCAAGAACCCUCUGCUCGAUCACGUGUGUGUGUGUGUGUGUGUGUGUGUGUGUGUGUGUGUGUGUGUGUGCCGUAUUUACCUUGUUGGAGUAGAGUUCACUAAUUUUGCGACAGUGAGGUUUGGAUAGUACCUGAGUUCCUUUCUUUCUUUAAAAUAUUUUAUGGCCCAUAUAAUUUAAACAGCAAGCAGACAGGGUAAAUGUUAUUUAGUUUUUAAUAAAUAUUUGUGUGAUGAGUGCUUUCCGCAUCGAUUCGUAUUCAUACUGCUCCCACUGUGACUUGUUGACAUUAACAAGGUACUAGAAUGAUCGGAGAAGGAACAUUGUUUUCCCUGACGGAAAUCAUCUGCACCGUCUUUAUGCAAGUGGAUGAGACCCGGUUCUAGAAGAUAUUUGAUAGUUCAAGAGCACAAAUACUUGUCCAGACAGCUUUUUAUAGGUGAUAUGAUAAAGGAAAUAGAGAAGGUGAGUCAGAUCCCUAAAUGUGGCCUUCCUAUGCAGACAUACUAGAGCUGUCUGAACCAAACCUAUAUGUUAUCAUUGUUGCUCCAAGACCUUGCAAUCCUGAUUGCCAUAAAUAAUCAUUAUGAAUUCUAUUAGACAAAAUGAAACAAGAAAUGAACCUCCUUCUCUUGUCUAAAAUCAUAGCUGUUUGCUUACUUGUUCCCAUUUCAGAGGACCCAAGCAAUGAUAUCUCAAAAUGCGGAAGUCAUGCAGAAUAUGCAGUCUUGAUUGCCCAACUUUGAUCUCUGUGUUCAACUCUGAUACCCGUUUUUCUUAUUUAUGACAUGGUAUUUUGGACAAAGCCAAAUAUCAUUUUUUGAGGCUUAGAUAGCUUUUUAAGGGAUGCUCAACGAGAAGAGACAAAUGAACCUAGGUGUUUUCUAUCCACUUCCUAGUUAUGUUAUUAUUUAUGCUUGGGAAACUGAGACUGACUUAAGAACGUAGACAUAUAGCUUCAGACAGACCCAAGAGAAAAACCAUGUGUGUUGUAGAACAGACCAGUUACUGGUUAUUUUCUUCAUAAUACCAGAGAAAAUGAUAGCAGGAAUCAUCUUUUUUUUACAUUGUUUGACUGUUAAUGACAUUUCUUGUGGGCCCACUUAUGCACUGCAAGAGAGACUUUGCAGAUGAGAGCUCUGUUGUUCUGGGUUACAUGGUGUGCACUACACAAGGGGAUCUGCUGUUGCUGUGUCACUGCCUUCUUGCCUUCACAGGUUAAAGAAAAUGCGUGAGUAUCUGGAGUGAGUGUUUGUGCGUGUUUUCCUUACGAGAGUCUGGCUGUUGAAAGAUUUCGCUGUGCACAUGGGGACAGGCAUCUGCCCAUCAGAUGCCUGUGAUCAUCACUGUGAAUGAGGUCACUGAGAACUUGUAGAAAUAUUGCUUAGCAUCCUGAUUUUAUUUGCUGUGGGAGACAAGUUGGCACGUUACUUCUUUUGCUUUUUUUUUUUACUUGCAAAAACAAAACCCCUUAGUAAGUGCUACAGAAAUUCAUAUUAACUUCGUUUUGGAUGCCGUCUUCCAAGGCCUUCCUGGGAUCUGAUUUAUGCCGAUGCUGUGGGCACUACAGACACAAUAUGUUGCCAUGCUCUUGCUCCUUGCCACCCCACUUCCCUUUCUAUCCUAGUAAAUCCUUUGAAGGUUUUAUUAUUCAGGGUGGGAAGAUUGAAGUGAAAGCUACAGAAUGAUUUAACACUGUGGGAACUUAAUCAAUAAGAGUGUUGUGAGAGCUCCCAGGAAAGGGUGUUGGUUUCCAUCCAGAUGAUAAUGAGGCCUGGUGGUAGCAACCUCUGGAGGGGAGUGCUGGGGCAGCGAUUCUUUGGUGGUGCUUUUGCUGGUUGCUAAUUAAUAGUUUUGAGGCCAGUGGGGCACCUUUUGGCCUUUCUGACAUUUGCAAGCUUUUCUGUGGCUUGUCCCACAUGUCUUUUCCACCAUCAGGGGUCACUCUCAACUGGAUUGGAGUCUGACAAGUCUAAUUGGCUCGAAUCUAUGCAGAUUUAAACAUCUAGCCUACAUGCCAAAAAUCUGAUGUUUUCUCAUGCUGCUUCUGAGUUCCGGGCAUUAUGGGAUCGGUGCAUGCCUGAGUUAUUAUGUAUCAGCUUACCCUCCUGUUAGCAUGUUAAAGAGCAAUUAGCUGGAUGUGCUGUAGGAAGUAGGGGAAAGGGAUUCAGUGCAGUUGAGUUGUAAAUGUCUUUUAUACUAAAAAACCUGUCAGACCAUUGAGCAUUCCUGGUUGGAAAGCAGAUUGAAUCGUAUAGUCAAAUUUUUUUAAAGAGUGAAUAAUUUCCCGAGAGUUGGUUUUAAAAAAAAAAUGAAAAGAUCCUUGCUGUGCAAACACACAGCUAUGGUGUAAUGUAAAUCACCCAAACACCCCUGCUUUCCUCGCUUUGUCCCCACUUCCUCCCCCAGUUGCACAUCUCGCUCAAAUUCUAAACUUUUACUGAUUAAAAACCUCUGACUUCUUUCUGUUUAGUGGCGACUUGUAGAUGAAUUUUCUGAUAGAUGGUGCUUCCCAUCUCUGAUAGAUUACAGGAUUCUGAAUAAGUGGCAGUGUAUGGAGCCUGAUGCACUUACAGCCAACCAAGUCAUAUGAAUAAGGCAAUAAAUUUGUACUUUUAUUGGAAAUAAUUUAUUCUAAUUGACCACCAUCACAUAUGCAAAAUAGUAUAGUAACUAGGCAGAAACAUUGCUUAAUAGAUUGCAAAAUAUUUUGUCUAGCUUAAUGUUCCUAAUAAUUUUGAUCAUAUGGUAGGUUAGGGUAGGCUCAUAUCUUUAAAUUUAUACAUAUAGGCUUUAAGAAAUAGAUGCCUUGUCCAACACGGUUGUACCACUGAGACUAUCACAUUUCCAUUCUAAAAUGCAUUUUAACAUCGUGCAUGAAAAUGCAUUUUUUCUGUACAAUACUUCAUAAAAUCUUUUUGACUGUAGGGUUCCUUGUAAUUAAAAAACUGUGUUGAUAUAACUUUCAACCAUUCAAUAGGUUUAUCGAAGAUUACCAUAAAAUGAUGAAUAAACUUGCCUGUGUAAUUUGAAGAGUUUUAAAGUAAAAGCUACAAUGGAACUAUUUCCACAUUAAAAGGACCAAGUGCUAAAGGAUUUUAGAGACUGCGUGAGCAUCAUUUGAUUUCUGUUUUCUGAGUUUGAUGUGUUAUCUUUGGUAACUCACCUGCAGCCAUGAACUUUUUUGAUAUGUGCAAACGCGUAUUAAUUAUUAAAACCUUACCUUUUGAGAGGUUGGUAUAUAAAAGCAUCUCUAAUGUGAAUAAUUUAAAGUUUCAAUUCAGUGUGAUUUUUAGCACUUUCCCUCCUCAAACAACCUGAAAAAUCUGAGGGUUAAUUUUUUCCUUUUAUCUGGAAAAAUUCUUGAUGUUUCAGAGUAACAGAGGUCUUUUCUGUCUCUCUAUAGCUUAUGAGUAUCAUAAAGUUUUGGAAAGAAUAAUGUAAGGUACAAUGAGGCAUAGCUUCAGAUAGAAUGCAUACAGUAUGGCGACUUCAUAGUAUAUUAAGAAUUCUCUGGUAAAAUUGUUUAUAUGAAAUAUGGUGGAACUGCAGCUUUUCUUGUUUUCAACUUCUACAAUGUUAGAUACCCACGGAAUAAAAACAUGGACUUUAAGAUCAAUUAAAAGAGAGCUUAGAUUUCAAUUCCUUUACGUCUGCAUUGUUUAAUUUUUUUAACUGUUUAUCCAAGGCAACUAAUUUGAGGAUUAAUAAUACAUAUAGAAAUCAAAAAAAUUUUCUGUACCAAUACCUUGCUGUCUUGCAUGGAAAUAUUUAUUUAGAUGUUGUGUGGCUUUCAUAAUUUUCAUAAGAUGUAUGACAUUAUUAAACAUUAAUUUGAGCAAAUCAACACUUUAAAGAAAUGGCUUAAAUAAACUAUUACCAGAUUAAGUAAAAGUUGAGGCAAUUUGUAGUUCCAAAAGGGGAAAAGAAUUCCAGCUUUAAACAUAGUCACUAUUUGUUCCACCAGAUGAACAGGGAUCCUAAUUAGGGUGAGUGCAGGUUACCCUUGUCCUGCUUUGAUAUUACUGCUUGCUGUAGUUUUCAUGUGAGUAUAUUAACUGAACGUACAACUUCUGUUCUAUUUGCCAAAACAUUUUUAAUAGAAAUAAGUUACCAGACGAAAAUGGAACUGGACAUUGAUUAGUUAUGUCAUUUAGGUCAAAUGAUCCACUUCUCCUGAAGUCAAGUUUCUUAGUAAAAAAGUAGAAACUGUGUCCUUUCAUUAUAUAAUACUUGCAUUGUCCCGUAACGUUCACAGAUAAUCUUUUAGCACAUUUGAAGAGAAAUCUCACUAUUAGUGACACUCCCAGAAAAUUUCCUCCAAACUAACCAACCAUCAGCAUACCAACCAUCAGUAUACCAACCAACCACUUCACAACCCAGCCCUCUAGCCAGUCAGCAGCCAACUGACCACCCUCCACAAAGCAAAUACAGACACAUCACUCAAGGUGAUUUCAAGACUUUACAGACUAUAACGCCUUGAGUUAUAGACCUUGAUUUAAAUACUGGCUUAGUCCCCCCCACCCCCACCUCCCGGAGCUGGGGACCGAACCCAGGGCCUUGGGCUUCCUAGGCAAGUGCUCUACCACUGAGCUAAAUCCUCAACCCCUGGCUUAGUUCUUUUACUAAAUAUUAUUUCUUAGGAAAUUAUAUUGGAAAAUAAAUUUCUGUGGUGGUUUGGUUUUCACCUCAAAGAAGAGAGAGAGAGAGAGAAAGAGAGGAGAGAGAGAGAGAGAGAGA